Molecule: non-coding RNA, 113 nt
Organism: Acanthosepion pharaonis
Lineage: Eukaryota; Metazoa; Mollusca; Cephalopoda; Sepiida; Sepiidae
Source: the annotation of a GenBank genome assembly
UGCGGUGUAAUCACACUGAAAACACCGGGUCUCGUUCGAACACUGAAGUUAAACGCCAUUGAGCCCUAUCACUACUUACGUGGGGGACUACUUCUGAACAACAGGUACAGUAA